This is an RNA transcript of Tripterygium wilfordii, 2338 nucleotides long. It is a transcript of the gene named amino acid transporter AVT6E, with no coding region annotated. The transcript is spliced from 2 exons. NCBI's taxonomy places the organism in Eukaryota, Viridiplantae, Streptophyta, Magnoliopsida, Celastrales, Celastraceae. The record is from RefSeq and is a predicted model, not a curated record.
AAAAUCCAAAACCAAAUUCCACGGCCAUGAAGUCCAUGUUGAAAAUUAUAUCCACCAAUAGAAAAACCUAUUUAUUCCCCUUUCUCUGGCCUUCAAUCGCUGUUCCUUCCUCUUCUCCUGGGUAGCUGAGAGAAACAUCCACCGUUGACCCACAAAAGGUCUAAUGCUUCUCUUGCCAAUUCAAUCGCACCAACCACAACGUCAUUACGCCAAUCUCUCUGAUUUCUUUCAAUCUUCCUUGUCUGCAAGUCAUCAGGUACAUUGUUCCAUUGCAUCUGAGAUCUACCCAUCGUAUAAAGAUUCAAUUUUUUUUCUUCUUCUUGUACACAAAUGGAUAGUAAUUACACACCUAUAUCCAAGAAAAACCACGUUGAAUUGCAAUUGCUAGAUGAUCCCAGUAAUUUAACAUCCCGUUCAGAAACCCACCUCAAAUCGGUCCAUUUUUAUGAGGAAAGUCGUCUAGAUCACAAGAAAGAGAAAGAGGGUAGUCGUCUUCUUGAUGGCGAUGAUGAUGGGGAUCUAGAAAAUUAUAUUUUUCCUCUCGUUAGUGAUAAACCCAAUAAAGGGUCUGGUGUAUCUGGCGCAGUUUUUAAUCUCACCACAUCAGUUAUUGGUGCCGGGAUCAUGGCCCUGCCUGCCACAAUGAAAGUUCUUGGGGUUGUUCUUGGGCUUAUACUAAUAGUCUUGAUUGGGAUUUUGUCAGAAAUCAGUGUGGAAUUGUUAGUUAGGUAUUCGGUUCUUUCGAAGUCAGCAACCUAUGGUGAAGUUGUAGAGCGUGCCUUGGGAAGGCAAGCGAGGGUUUUGUCUGAGAUUUGCAUAAUUGUGAACAAUGCAGGUGUUUUGGUUGUGUAUUUGAUAAUAAUGGGUGAUGUUAUGUCUGGUUCUCUUCAUCACACUGGGGUUUUUGACCAGUGGUUGGGGCAUGGUUUCUGGGAUCAUAGGAAGAUUUUGAUUUUGGUUGUGCUUGUGAUCUUUCUUGCACCACUCUGUGCAUUGGAGAAGAUUGAUUCUUUGAGCUUGACUUCGGCUGUUUCUGUGGUUCUUGCAGUAGUGUUCGUCAUUGUCUGUUUCGUUGUAGCGUUGAUUAAGUUUGUUGAAGGGAAGAGUGAAUUCCCAAGGCUGAGUCCGGAUUUUGGGUCGAAGAAAGCAAUUUUGGAUUUGCUUGUUGUGAUCCCAAUAAUGUCAAAUGCUUAUGUUUGCCAUUUUAAUGUUCAACCUAUAUACAAUGAGCUUCAAGGGCGGUCGCCCCAGAAAAUGAACCAGGUGGGAAGGACCACAACCAUUCUUUGUGUAUUGGUUUAUGCAUCAACAGCUGUAUCUGGUUAUCUGCUUUUUGGGAAGGAUACUGAGUCUGAUGUGCUGACCAAUUUUGACAAAGACCUUGGAAUUCGUUUCAGCUCUGCUCUGAAUAAUAUUGUUCGGGUGGGAUACAUUCUUCAUUUAAUUCUCGUCUUUCCUGUAAUUCAUUUCUCCUUGAGGCAAACAGUGAAUGCUCUAGUAUUUGAGGGCUCAGCUCCACUCGAGGAAAGUAAGAAAAGGUCUCUGGCCUUAACAACAGUUUUGUUGGGACUUAUUUAUUUUGGAUCCACUAUGAUUCCCAACAUUUGGACAGCCUUCAAGUUUACAGGAGCCACAACAGCUGUGUCGUUGGGUUUUAUAUUCCCAUCACUUAUUGCAUUAAGGUUGAGUCGACAAGGAGGAGCUUUAAGCCUUGUAGAGAGGUACUUGUCAUGGCUGAUGUUGGUAUUGGCAGUUGUGGUUGGCAUUGUUGGGGUGAUUGGUAACAUUUACAGCAUCAAAGACCAAUCUGAAUGAUUCCUUUGCUAAUGAUGUAGAGGUUGGCUUUGCUAGAUAAAGACCUUACAUAGCGAUGCAAUUUGAGAUUUAUUGAUUUUUAUGCCUACCAAUGCCAUCUGACAGAAGACGCGUAGAUAAAAAUAGAUGAUGUGUAGAACAUUGUUCCAAACUGGAAAUUGUGCAUGGCAGCGCGCAGAUGAAAGGCUUGAAAAGAUUUUGUGGGUCUGAUUAUGUUGUGGAUACAGUGCAAUCUAUAAUCUCUAGAGCGACAGCAGCAAGUCGGCUUUGCAACUGAAAAUGCUUGGAGAGAAGAGAACUUUGCUAACUUGGCACCCAAUUUCGCAUGAAUAGGCCUAUUAAACAAUCUGAUCUUCCUUCAUGGCUUGGAAUGCUUUCCAUACUUGAGGCACAUUGAAGAUUUUCUCUCUCUGAAAGUACCAAGUCCAUUUGACAUUGGAUUUUUUAUUGCUAUCUGAUGUUGAAAGAACAUAUGUAGUUAUUAUAAAAUUCGACUAUUUGAGUAUAACAUCAUCUUCUAAUC